This 491-nucleotide ribosomal RNA is filed under the name uncultured bacterium. Its description in RNAcentral is "partial 16S ribosomal RNA". It matches the Rfam family "Bacterial small subunit ribosomal RNA", at positions 29 to 507 of the family's 1533-position model. The record is from RNAcentral.
AGUGAACGCUGGCGGUAUGCCUAACACAUGCAAGUCGAACGGCAGCACAGUAAGAGCUUGCUCUUACGGGUGGCGAGUGGCGGACGGUUAGGAAUACAUCGGAAUCUCCUUUUUCGUGGGGUAUAACGUAGGGAAACUUACGCUAAUACCGCAUUCGACCUACGGGCGAAAGCCAGGGGUCUUCGGACCUUUCGCGGUUGCAUGUGCCUAUGUCGGAUUAGCUAGUUGGCGGGGUAAAGGUCCACCAAGGCGACGAUCCGUAGCCGGUCUGAGAGGAUGAUCAGCCACACUGGAACUGAGACACGGUCCAGACUCCUACGGGAGGCAGCAGUGGGGAAUAUUGGACAAUGGGCGCAAGCCUGACCCAGCCAUGCCGCGUGAGUGAAGAAGGCCUUCGGGUUGUAAAGCCCUUUUGUUGGGAAAGAAAAGAAGCAGGUUAAUACCCCGCUGUUCUGACGGUACCCAAAGAAUAAGCACCGGCUAACUUCGUG